RNAcentral lists this long non-coding RNA (954 nucleotides) under Gallus gallus (chicken). RNAcentral describes it as "long non-coding RNA NONGGAT008897". The record is from RNAcentral. Lineage: Eukaryota; Metazoa; Chordata; Aves; Galliformes; Phasianidae.
GCACACCCGGCCUCGCCUCCGCCGGCCGGAGGGAGAUUGUGUGCCUGUCAGUGUACGCUGUCAGCGCCGUGCCGGGGCUCGCCUGGGGAGGGGGAAGGCGGCGGCUUGUGCAACGGGGACUGCUGGAGGGGGGCGGUCAGCGCUCCCUCCCGUCUUCCCGCAGCGGGAGCGCCCCCGCGCCGCUCCACGAGCAGUGGAUUAAAGGCGACGGGCGAGCGGGCGCCUCUGAGGGGCAGUGAGGGCGCCCAGUGCCCGGCUCCCGUCUUCUCCCUGCGGCGUCUCGGCCUGGCGGCUCCUGUCUGUGCGCGCGCGGCUCGCUGUGCAGCUGUACGCCCAGUGGCCCUGAGAGGAGCUGCCAAGCUUAACUUUCAACACAGAGGAACAUGUUCCUAGCGUGACUAUAGAAAAGCCGCCCCUGCCCGGGCAGAGCCGCACGGCCCGCCCCCGCGGAACCUGUUCUACCCGUAGGUGCCUUUCCUUCGCCGUUCGCCAGGCCGAGCUGUCCCAGCGCAAACACCCGGGCCAGUAUCACUGUCGUCGCACCAGGGGCAAGUUUGUCUCUUGGUGCCGAAGCUGCGGUCUCAAAACAUCCAAUUGUUCGCAUGUUCUAGAGCACUGGAGAAAGGGCUGUUAGAUCGAGUUCUCUGGCACUGGAGUGUGUGUCUUGGACAGUUGGUAAUCGCUCUGCUUUAAAGCUUCAGUACAUUGCUGUUUGGGGGGGAACUGUGGUAAAGUAUUCCACGUGUAUUCUGAUCCUCUGGAAGAUAUGCAUCAGAAUCACAAAACAUUAUGAAGUUUAUUGUGUAUGAAAAUUCUGCUCUCUAUAUUGCCCAGAGUUGAAGGCCCUAUCUUGGUGGGUGUUUGUUGGGUUUUUUGUUUCUUUGUUUGUUUUUGAAAUUUUAGAUAUUUUGACAGCAGGUAAAUGUGAAAAGCUAAAGCUAGGUAAUAUCCUCA